RNAcentral lists this ribosomal RNA (489 nucleotides) under uncultured bacterium. Its description in RNAcentral is "partial 16S ribosomal RNA". It matches the Rfam family "Bacterial small subunit ribosomal RNA", at positions 30 to 506 of the family's 1533-position model. The record is from RNAcentral.
AUUGAACGCUGGCGGCAGGCCUAACACAUGCAAGUCGAACGGUAACAGGGAUCAGCUUGCUGAUUCGCUGACGAGUGGCGGACGGGUGAGUAAUGUCUGGGAAACUGCCUGAUGGAGGGGGAUAACUACUGGAAACGGUAGCUAAUACCGCAUAACGUCGCAAGACCAAAGAGGGGGACCUUCGGGCCUCUUGCCAUCGGAUGUGCCCAGAUGGGAUUAGCUAGUAGGUGGGGUAACGGCUCACCUAGGCGACGAUCCCUAGCUGGUCUGAGAGGAUGACCGGCCACACUGGAAAUAGGACACGGUCCAGACUCCUAGGGGAGGCAGGAGGGGGGAAUAUUGAAAAAGGGGCGCAAGCCUGAUGCAGCCAUGCCGGGGGUAUGAAGAAGGCCUUCGGGUUGUAAAUUACUUUCAGGGGGGAGGAAGGGAGUAAAGUUAAAACCUUUGCUCAUUGACGUUACCCGCAAAAGAAGCACCGGCUAACUCCGU